RNAcentral lists this transfer RNA (63 nucleotides) under Philodromus sp. RNAcentral describes it as "tRNA-Leu". Lineage: Eukaryota; Metazoa; Arthropoda; Arachnida; Araneae; Philodromidae. The record is from RNAcentral.
AUCUAAUUGGCAGAUAAAUGCAUUAAGCUUAAGACUUAAUUAUAAUUCAAUAGUUUUAAUAUA